This 72-nucleotide transfer RNA is filed under the name Ictidomys tridecemlineatus (thirteen-lined ground squirrel). RNAcentral's name for it is "Spermophilus tridecemlineatus (thirteen-lined ground squirrel) tRNA". It matches the Rfam family "tRNA". From Rfam's summary of the family: Transfer RNA (tRNA) molecules are approximately 80 nucleotides in length. Their secondary structure includes four short double-helical elements and three loops (D, anti-codon, and T loops). Further hydrogen bonds mediate the characteristic L-shaped molecular structure. tRNAs have two regions of fundamental functional importance: the anti-codon, which is responsible for specific mRNA codon recognition, and the 3' end, to which the tRNAs corresponding amino acid is attached (by aminoacyl-tRNA synthetases). tRNAs cope with the degeneracy of the genetic code in two manners: having more than one tRNA (with a specific anti-codon) for a particular amino acid; and 'wobble' base-pairing, i.e. permitting non-standard base-pairing at the 3rd anti-codon position. Lineage: Eukaryota; Metazoa; Chordata; Mammalia; Rodentia; Sciuridae. The record is from Rfam by way of RNAcentral.
GUGGUUGUAGUUCAACGGUAGAGCACUUGCCUCGCAUGUGUGAGGCACUGGGUUUGAUUCUCAGCACCCAUA